RNAcentral lists this ribosomal RNA (485 nucleotides) under Globigerinita glutinata. RNAcentral's name for it is "SSU rRNA". It matches the Rfam family "Eukaryotic small subunit ribosomal RNA", at positions 1214 to 1529 of the family's 1831-position model. Lineage: Eukaryota; Foraminifera; Rotaliida; Globigerinitidae. The record is from RNAcentral.
CUUACCGGGUCCGGACACACUGAGGAUUGACAGGUAUUAUAUAGCGCGCUUGCGCGUCUAUUGUUAAAUAUGCUAGUCCUUUCAUGAUUAUGUGAUAGGUGGUGCAUGGCCGUUCUUAGUUCGUGGAGUGAUCUGUCUGCUUAAUUGCGUUUCAGAUAAGGAUCUAUAUUCUUUACAGAAGUGUUGCGUUGUGCGCAUUUGACCCCUCGUUCGCGAGUGCGUGUCUUUUCGCGCUCGCACGCUUUUUACAUUAGGUCCUGAAAGCAACGAACGUGACCGCAACCUCUUGUUGCCUCAUCUCCCUACUUUUUUAGCACUUCGGUGUUGAAUAAUUUCAUUGAGGCUUUCCAAAACUAGAGGGACCGCUGUCAACUUCUUAAACCAGAGGAAGGUUGCGGCAAUAACAGGUCUGUGAUGCCCUUAGAUGUUCCGGGCUGCACACGUGCUACAAUGAUUGUUGCAGUGAGCAUCUCAAUUUUUUACCU